CGCCUUUUGAACUAUCAACAUAAAAGGUCCUGCCUGCCCAGUGACAUCUGUUUCAACGGCCGCGGUAUUAUGACCGUGCAAAGGUAGCGUAAUCACUUGUCUUUUAAAUAAGGACCAGUAUGAAUGGCAAAACGAAACCUAACUGUCUCCCUAAGUUAGUCAAUAAAAUUGAUCUUCCCGUGCAGAAGCGGGAAUUAUAAUAUAAGACGAGAAGACCCUGUGGAGCUUUAAACUUAAACUAACAAACUAUAAAUGUACUAGCAUCAGGUUUUAGGUUGGGGCGACCAUGAGGUAUAACACAACCCUCAAGACGAAAACUAAGAAGGACACUUCAAAUAAAUAUUAAUAACGCAAUUGACCCAAUAAUUGAUCAACGAACCAAGUUACCCCAGGGAUAACAGCGCAAUCUACUCAAAGAGCCCUUAUCGACGAGCAGGUUUACGACCUCGAUGUUGGAUCAGGACCCCCAAAUAAUGCAACAGUUAUUAAAGGUUCGUUUGUUCAACGAUUAAAGUCCU
This 518-nucleotide ribosomal RNA is filed under the name Pseudoeurycea lineola. RNAcentral's name for it is "partial 16S ribosomal RNA". It matches the Rfam family "Bacterial large subunit ribosomal RNA", at positions 1817 to 2597 of the family's 2925-position model. The record is from RNAcentral. Lineage: Eukaryota; Metazoa; Chordata; Amphibia; Caudata; Plethodontidae.